AAUCUUAUAUUUUAACUUUAAAAAUAUUAAAUUGCAAAUUUAAAAAUGAUAUUUUAUCUAAGAUUU
Molecule: transfer RNA, 66 nt
Filed under: Ixodes australiensis
Lineage: Eukaryota; Metazoa; Arthropoda; Arachnida; Ixodida; Ixodidae
Description: tRNA-Cys
Source: RNAcentral